This 229-nucleotide unclassified non-coding RNA is filed under the name plant metagenome. RNAcentral describes it as "partial contains small subunit ribosomal RNA, internal transcribed spacer 1, and 5.8S ribosomal RNA". The record is from RNAcentral.
UCUCCGUAGGUGAACCUGCGGAGGGAUCAUUACAGAGUUCAUGCCCUACCGGGUAGAUCUCCCACCCUAUGUUAUUAUUACUUAGUUGCUUUGGCGGGCCGUUAGGCUCCGGCCCGACUACCGGCCCCGGCUGGUAAGCGCCCGCCAGAGGACCCAAAACCCUGAAUAUUAGUGUCGUCUGAGUACUAUAUAAUAGUUAAAACUUUCAACAACGGAUCUCUUGGCUCUG